RNAcentral lists this ribosomal RNA (484 nucleotides) under uncultured bacterium. Its description in RNAcentral is "partial 16S ribosomal RNA". It matches the Rfam family "Bacterial small subunit ribosomal RNA", at positions 29 to 507 of the family's 1533-position model. The record is from RNAcentral.
AUUGAACGCUGGCGGCAUGCUUUACACAUGCAAGUCGAACGGCAGCGCGGGCUUCGGCCUGGCGGCGAGUGGCGAACGGGUGAGUAAUACAUCGGAACGUGCCCAGUAGUGGGGGAUAGCUCGGCGAAAGCCGGAUUAAUACCGCAUACGACCUGAGGGUGAAAGCGGGGGAUCUUCGGACCUCGCGCUAUUGGAGCGGCCGAUGGCAGAUUAGCUAGUUGGUGGGGUAAAGGCCUACCAAGGCGGCGAUCUGUAGCUGGUCUGAGAGGACGACCAGCCACACUGGGACUGAGACACGGCCCAGACUCCUACGGGAGGCAGCAGUGGGGAAUUUUGGACAAUGGGCGAAAGCCUGAUCCAGCAAUGCCGCGUGUGUGAUGAAGGCCUUCGGGUUGUAAAACACUUUUGGCGGGAACGAAAAGGACUGUGCCAAUACCACGGUUCGAUGACGGUACCCGCAGAAUAAGCACCGGCUAACUACGUG